CUACACCAACUGAGGCCUAUUAAGCGUGUUGCUUUUGAAGGGCCUGUAACAGGAAGGCGUUUCUAUGGCUGCCCAGUGCAGGAAAAUGGUGUGAAUUGUGGUGUUGUAGAGUGGGUUGAUGGGCCUUGGCCUACUGUUCUUCAGAGAUGUUUGUGCAAGCUAUGGGAAAUGUUCCAUGAGCAGAACUGUGGAAGGGUACUUGACAAAGAGAAGUUUGAGAAUGAGCUGGCCAAGCUUAAGAGUGAACAUGAAAGGGAGUUGGCCAAGCUACACAAGCUUGUUGAUGAUGUAUCCAAGAUGUUUGAUUGGCAGGAUGGUAGGGUGGACAAGAAGGUGUACCAUAAACAAGUGGAGGAGGAAGAACUUGAGAAGAAGAAGGAGCUAGAGGAGAAAGCUAUGUUGGAGGUGCAGAUGGAAAAGCUCAAACUUGCAAAAGAGUAG
Molecule: ribosomal RNA, 441 nt
Filed under: Triticum aestivum (bread wheat)
Lineage: Eukaryota; Viridiplantae; Streptophyta; Magnoliopsida; Poales; Poaceae
Description: partial small subunit ribosomal RNA
Source: RNAcentral